Molecule: ribosomal RNA, 509 nt
Filed under: Placomerus obscuratus
Lineage: Eukaryota; Metazoa; Arthropoda; Insecta; Hemiptera; Naucoridae
Description: partial large subunit ribosomal RNA
Rfam family: Eukaryotic large subunit ribosomal RNA
Source: RNAcentral
GAAGUCUAACAUGUGCGCGAGUCAUUGGGUGUCAAACCUAAAGGCGGAAUGAAAGUGAAGGGCUGCUUUGCUUUCCGAGGGAGGAUGGGCAUGUCAGCUUCACGGGCGGUGCCCCGCACUCCCGGGGCGUCUCUUUCUCACUGCGAGUAGAGGCGCACCCAGAGCGUACACGUUAGGACCCGAAAGAUGGUGAACUAUGCCUGGUCAGGACGAAGCCAGGGGAAACCCUGGUGGAGGUCCGUAGCGAUUCUGACGUGCAAAUCGAUCGUCAGAGCUGGGUAUAGGGGCGAAAGACUAAUCGAACCAUCUAGUAGCUGGUUCCCUCCGAAGUUUCCCUCAGGAUAGCUGGUGCUCGUGUGAGACGAGUCUCAUCCGGUAAAGCGAAUGAUUAGAGGCCUUGGGGCCGAAACGACCUCAACCUAUUCUCAAACUUUAAAUAGAUGAGAACUCCGGCUUGCUUGAAAGUGAAGCCGGAGAUUCGGAUCAGAGUGCCCAGUGGGCCAAUUUUG